RNAcentral lists this long non-coding RNA (747 nucleotides) under Betta splendens (Siamese fighting fish). Its description in RNAcentral is "lncRNA (ENSBSLG00000026663.1)". The record is from RNAcentral. Lineage: Eukaryota; Metazoa; Chordata; Actinopteri; Anabantiformes; Osphronemidae.
GCAUAUUUAUGUGUAUUUCUGUAUCACGGCAACAGUGGCGCAAGCUGUUUGUUGAUCUGUUGUCAAGUGUGAGAUGACGGCAGAGGAGGAGGACAGGCCACGAGCAGACAGCUCCACCUGCUAAUGAUUCACCCUCCGUACAGACACAUGCUUUGUGUGGUUUCGCAGAAUAGUUCAGUGUAUCACCAGCAAAAUGCUGGAGAACAACAAGGCGCUGCCCUCCUGAGACGGAGCCGUGGGCCCAGACAAAGGUGGGCCUGUGGUCCGGUCCAAUCACAACCUGUGGAAAAUCCCCCGCCGCUGCCGGGCCAAGAUGCCGGCGCUGCGAGAGGAAUGUGAGAGGCAGACGAGUCCAGAAGCAACGCGGGCACGAGGGAAUUCCUGCUGUGUGGACGCAAGACAGAAGCAGAGACACCGAGAGCGUUGGGUGAGUGAAUGGAGCCGUGUGCACGGAGGGGAUGGAAUGGAGCCUGCUCGGCCUUUCUCCACCCACGCCCCUGUGGACCCGUCAAAGUCGCGCUGCGGUCCAGAGAUGAGACGCCACGACGCUGAUUUACUAUUCAGAGGUUAUUCAUCGCCUGUGGAUAAAAAGACAAUUGAAUUAAGUUGUUGGAAGCGCCGAGGCUGCGGCAGCGCAGGCGAAGCUGCGUGAACCGAGACGGAGCGACGCAGAGAGCGACGCCUGAUGCUCCGAUGCUCCGAUGCUCCGAUGCUGCUUCUUGGAUCGAGAAAAACAAACAGUUUGCA